This 460-nucleotide long non-coding RNA is filed under the name Gossypium raimondii (Peruvian cotton). RNAcentral's name for it is "long non-coding RNA (GRAI_LNC006074)". Lineage: Eukaryota; Viridiplantae; Streptophyta; Magnoliopsida; Malvales; Malvaceae. The record is from RNAcentral.
UCUGUUGCGUUGCUCGUUUGUUUGUCCUUUGCAGGUGUACGGAGCAAUGGACGGGGCUAGGGUGACGUGGCGCAGGGUGUACGGAGGCUGGUCGCGGAAGGCUUGGCUACGACGCCUAGAUCUUCUAGGGUUCCUUGCUGUUGAUUUUUUGUUUUGGGCUAUCGGGCUGGUAAUUUGGGUUUAGAAAAUUGGGUUUAGGGUCUGUUUAGGUUUAGAUUCGGGUUUGGGUAGAGAUUUGGGCCGUUGGGCUGGUAUUGGGUCUCCGUAAUUGGGCUAGGGUCAGGUUAGUGGGUCUUAGUGGGCUAGGUUCAUUGAUUUGGGUUAUCAGUUUGUAAAUGGACUAUUUUAUGGGACAUUUAUUCUAUUUAUUUUGUUGUUUUUGUUUAUGUGGGCCGAGCAUAAAUUAGGUAUUACAUGCUCUAAAGAUGAUCGAGCCCAUAGCUGGUAUGUUGGAUACAUG